UUAUGGCCAUAUCACAUUGAAACAGCAGUUCCCAUAUGAUCACUGAAGUUAAGGAACAUCGAGCCUGAACAGUACCUAGAUAGGUGACUAUUUGGGUAUACCAGGUGCUGUAA
Acanthosepion pharaonis is the source of this 113-nucleotide non-coding RNA. The record is from the annotation of a GenBank genome assembly. NCBI's taxonomy places the organism in Eukaryota, Metazoa, Mollusca, Cephalopoda, Sepiida, Sepiidae.